GUCACAACUACUCAAAAGGAUAGAUGCCUGCUACACAAGCACCUACAAAAACAUGGCGACCACUACAUACUCUCUUUACCCCAGUCAAAGACAAGCCAACAUGCGAAUCCAGUAGAGAUCACAUAUUACCCUACCCUAAACAAGUGGUGUCCAGUAGCAGCCUUAGACGCCUAUCUUCUUAACACCACAGCACUACCAUCACAAC
This is a non-coding RNA of Pelobates cultripes (western spadefoot toad), 205 nucleotides long. NCBI's taxonomy places the organism in Eukaryota, Metazoa, Chordata, Amphibia, Anura, Pelobatidae. The record is from the annotation of a GenBank genome assembly.